UUUUUUUUAGACGGCAACAACAGCAAUUACUUUUGCACUACCCUAAUAGUAAACUAAUUUCUUAUUGACGAAAGAAAAAUAUUUUUAAGUAAAUUUAGUGAAGCUAAGUGUACGGUGUUUAUUAAGUCUACAGUAGGAUACAGUGACGUCCUAGGCCACUCACCACUCACUCCCUGACUCACCCAGACCAAUUACUAGUCCUGGAAGCUCCACUCAUGGUAAGAGUCACAUCUCUCGGUCGUUCUCAGCAGUUUCCAGAGAGACUCAAGCUGUUGCCAGGGAGCAUCCAGCAGACGGGAAGACAGAUGAUGCUGGAGACUGAGGAGCGACCUGCUGGAAGGAGAACAGUCCUUGGGGCGGAAUUCUGAGUGGGAUCCAACACAUUCAACAGCCGAUUGUGGAAUGAACAAACAACAGCUCAGCGCUUCCUUCUCCAAUGGGAUUAACUCUGCUUUCUCCUGCCCAGAGGGGGGGUUGGCCGCAGAGGAGCCAGGACAGUGCUCUGUCCCCUGUGUUCCAGUCCACAUCCCCCUCACCCCCGCCUGUCCUCAUGGUCUACGUGCCCAUGGGGAUACACUGGCCUGUGCAUUGCUUCCUGCUGGGUCUCAGACUCGGGGCUGUGGCAGAUGGGGACAGGGCCUGUCCUGGCACCAUCUGCCAAUUCCCUUUGUACUCCCAGUCCAUGAGGAAGUUGACUCUGCCCUGAAAACGACUGUUCCUGUGGUCCAUAAACAAAGGAAUGGUGAGCCAGGCAUGAGCUGUGGGCCCCAGGGGUGGGGCUGGGGGUCACCGUAGCAGAGGUAGCUGAGACUGUGGGAGGGAGGCUGGUGCCUCCUUGGUCCCCCUGAGGAUUUCAUGCCUGAUUUCUGGCACUGCCCAGCCUCUGCUCCAACCUCUCUGGAGGCAAAGGAGGUAACAGGAGGGCACAAGGCCAGGAAGUGUCAUUGGGAGCAAGGAAGGCGGCUGGUGGGCUAGCAGGAAAUGGGAUGGUCUGUGAGACCAGAUUAGUAGCAGAGGAGGAAGCAAC
RNAcentral lists this long non-coding RNA (1027 nucleotides) under Homo sapiens (human). RNAcentral's name for it is "HSALNT0386611". Lineage: Eukaryota; Metazoa; Chordata; Mammalia; Primates; Hominidae. The record is from RNAcentral.